GGAAAGGGCAGGCAUAUUGGAAGUUAUCAAUGGAUGACAGGGCUUAUACAAACGCUAAUUAUGUUGUGGAAUAUAUGGCAAUAAACAGAACUGGCCUCUUUCUGUUCAGUCAUAAUGGAUCAGCUGUUGUAAUUCAGAUGAGUUUGUCACCAUCUGACUUCCGAAUUGCCCAGUUGGAUGCUUCUGGCCACUUUAUAAUCAGACGUUUUUCUGGUAGUGACGGGGAACAGGAAUUUGUAGGGCCAAUUAAUGGUUGUCAAAUUCCACUUGUCUGUGGCAGAAUUGGAUUGUGCGUUGCUGCUCAGUCC
Molecule: unclassified non-coding RNA, 308 nt
Filed under: Hevea brasiliensis (rubber tree)
Lineage: Eukaryota; Viridiplantae; Streptophyta; Magnoliopsida; Malpighiales; Euphorbiaceae
Source: RNAcentral